ACUGUUGCAAAAGUUUGAGAUGAUUUGUAAUUAGGGGUGAAAGGCCAAUCAAACUUGGUGAUAGCUGGUUUUCCACGAAAUAUAUUUAGGUAUAGCGUAAUUUUAGGUAGCAAAGGGUAGAGCUCUUUUUAAACUAGGGGAGUCAAUAAACUUUACUGAAUUUAGAUAAACUACGAAUAUUUGCUAAAUUUAAGAUUAUAGUCAGACUUUGAGUGCUAAGAUUUUAAGUCAAGAGGGAAACAGCCCAGAUUAUUAACUAAGGCCCAUAAAUGAAAGCUAAGUGAUAAAGAAAGUGAUUAGACCAAGAUAGUUAGAAGGUGAGCUUGGAAGCAGCUAUCCUUUAAAAAAUGCGUAAUUGCAUACUAAUUGAAAAUAUUUUAUUUAAGUCUAGUUGCGUCGAAAAUUCAUAGGACUUAUGCUUUCUGCCGAAGUUAUAAAUUUAAAUUAAAAUAAUUUAAAUGGUAGUGGAACGUUUUUUAAGCCAGUGAAGUUAAAUUGUUAAAUUUAAUCGAGGUAUAAAAA
This 522-nucleotide ribosomal RNA is filed under the name Palpitomonas bilix. RNAcentral's name for it is "partial Bacterial large subunit ribosomal RNA". It matches the Rfam family "Bacterial large subunit ribosomal RNA", at positions 785 to 1287 of the family's 2925-position model. The record is from RNAcentral.